Molecule: ribosomal RNA, 1000 nt
Filed under: Microbacterium sp. HBUM178239
Lineage: Bacteria; Bacillati; Actinomycetota; Actinomycetes; Micrococcales; Microbacteriaceae
Description: bacterial SSU rRNA
Rfam family: Bacterial small subunit ribosomal RNA
Source: RNAcentral
CACCUUGGGGCCUGGCUUUACACAUGCAAGUCGAACGGUGAAGCAGAGCUUGCUCUGUGGAUCAGUGGCGAACGGGUGAGUAACACGUGAGCAACCUGCCCCUGACUCUGGGAUAAGCGCUGGAAACGGCGUCUAAUACUGGAUAUGAGCUGCGAUCGCAUGGUCAGCAGUUGGAAAGAUUUUUCGGUCUGGGAUGGGCUCACGGCCUAUCAGCUUGUUGGUGAGGUAAUGGCUCACCAAGGCGUCGACGGGUAGCCGGCCUGAGAGGGUGACCGGCCACACUGGGACUGAGACACGGCCCAGACUCCUACGGGAGGCAGCAGUGGGGAAUAUUGCACAAUGGGCGAAAGCCUGAUGCAGCAACGCCGCGUGAGGGAUGACGGCCUUCGGGUUGUAAACCUCUUUUAGCAGGGAAGAAGCGAAAGUGACGGUACCUGCAGAAAAAGCGCCGGCUAACUACGUGCCAGCAGCCGCGGUAAUACGUAGGGCGCAAGCGUUAUCCGGAAUUAUUGGGCGUAAAGAGCUCGUAGGCGGUUUGUCGCGUCUGCUGUGAAAUCCCGAGGCUCAACCUCGGGUCUGCAGUGGGUACGGGCAGACUAGAGUGCGGUAGGGGAGAUUGGAAUUCCUGGUGUAGCGGUGGAAUGCGCAGAUAUCAGGAGGAACACCGAUGGCGAAGGCAGAUCUCUGGGCCGUUACUGACGCUGAGGAGCGAAAGGGUGGGGAGCAAACAGGCUUAGAUACCCUGGUAGUCCACCCCGUAAACGUUGGGAACUAGUUGUGGGGUCCAUUCCACGGAUUCCGUGACGCAGCUAACGCAUUAAGUUCCCCGCCUGGGGAGUACGGCCGCAAGGCUAAAACUCAAAGGAAUUGACGGGGACCCGCACAAGCGGCGGAGCAUGCGGAUUAAUUCGAUGCAACGCGAAGAACCUUACCAAGGCUUGACAUAUACGAGAACGGGCCAGAAAUGGUCAACUCUUUGGACACUCGUAACAGGUGGUGC